This 75-nucleotide transfer RNA is filed under the name Metschnikowia hawaiiana. Its description in RNAcentral is "[Candida] hawaiiana tRNA-Thr". It matches the Rfam family "tRNA". Rfam says of the family: Transfer RNA (tRNA) molecules are approximately 80 nucleotides in length. Lineage: Eukaryota; Fungi; Ascomycota; Pichiomycetes; Serinales; Metschnikowiaceae. The record is from RNAcentral.
AUGACUAUGGUGAAAAUGGUAUACACGGUUAGUUUAGAUCUAAUUAAAUAAGGGUUCAAUUCCCUUUAGUCAUAU